This 472-nucleotide ribosomal RNA is filed under the name uncultured bacterium. RNAcentral's name for it is "bacterial SSU rRNA". It matches the Rfam family "Bacterial small subunit ribosomal RNA", at positions 328 to 792 of the family's 1533-position model. The record is from RNAcentral.
UCAGUCGACUCCUACGGGAGGCAGCAGUGGGGAAUAUUGCACAAUGGGCGCAAGCCUGAUGCAGCCAUGCCGCGUGUAUGAAGAAGGCCUUCGGGUUGUAAAGUACUUUCAGCAGUGAGGAAGGUGGAUAUGUUAAUAGCAUAUUCAUUUGACGUUAGCUGCAGAAGAAGCACCGGCUAACUCCGUGCCAGCAGCCGCGGUAAUACGGAGGGUGCGAGCGUUAAUCGGAAUUACUGGGCGUAAAGCGCAUGCAGGCGGCCUGUUAAGUCAGAUGUGAAAGCCCCGGGGCUUAACCUCGGAAUUGCAUUUGAAACUGGCAGGCUAGAGUCUUGUAGAGGGGGUAGAAUUUCAGGUGUAGCGGUGAAAUGCGUAGAGAUCUGAAGGAAUACCAGUGGCGAAGGCGGCCCCCUGGACAAAGACUGACGCUCAGAUGCGAAAGCGUGGGGAGCAAACAGGAUUAGAUACCCUGGAG